This 280-nucleotide long non-coding RNA is filed under the name Homo sapiens (human). Its description in RNAcentral is "non-protein coding lnc-NDFIP2-24:1". The record is from RNAcentral. Lineage: Eukaryota; Metazoa; Chordata; Mammalia; Primates; Hominidae.
AUAUCAGCAGACACAGAUGUUUUCCUUUCUUCAUAUGAUGAAGAUCAGGGACCCAAACGUUAGAAAAGCUAAUGAGGCACCAUUUGUCCCCAUUGGAAUGGCUGAUUUCAUAGCAAUUGUUGCAUAUGGGUUAUACAAGCUGAAAAGCAGGGGGAAUACUAAAAUAUACCUUCAUUUGAUCCACAUGUGUGUGGCAGCUCAAGGCUUUGUUGUAGGAGCAAUGACUGUUAGUAUGAGCUAUUCCACGUAUCAGGAAUUCUGGGAAAAACAUAAGCCUUAG